UUUAUGAUCAAGGUUAGGUUAAGGAACUCGGCAAAUAUACUUUUCGCCUGUUUAUUAAAAACAUGUCUUUUUGAUUAUAAUUUAAAGUCUGGCCUGCCCAAUGAGGAGUUAAAUGGCCGCGGUAAUUUGACCGUGCAAAGGUAGCAUAAUCAUUAGUUUUUUAAUUGAAAGCUGGAAUGAACGGUCGGACGAGAAAGUGACUGUCUCGAUUUAAUUGUUAUUAGAAUUUUAUUUAUAAGUAAGAAAGCUUAU
Molecule: ribosomal RNA, 252 nt
Organism: Oryctes borbonicus
Lineage: Eukaryota; Metazoa; Arthropoda; Insecta; Coleoptera; Scarabaeidae
Rfam family: Archaeal large subunit ribosomal RNA
Source: Rfam